This 766-nucleotide ribosomal RNA is filed under the name uncultured Bacilli bacterium. Its description in RNAcentral is "bacterial SSU rRNA". It matches the Rfam family "Bacterial small subunit ribosomal RNA", at positions 39 to 776 of the family's 1533-position model. The record is from RNAcentral. Lineage: Bacteria; Bacillati; Bacillota; Bacilli.
GCGGCGUGCCUAAUACAUGCAAGUCGAACGCUUCUUUUUCCACCGGAGCUUGCUCCACCGGAAAAAGAGGAGUGGCGAACGGGUGAGUAACACGUGGGUAACCUGCCCAUCAGAAGGGGAUAACACUUGGAAACAGGUGCUAAUACCGUAUAACAAUCAAAACCGCAUGGUUUUGAUUUGAAAGGCGCUUUCGGGUGUCGCUGAUGGAUGGACCCGCGGUGCAUUAGCUAGUUGGUGAGGUAACGGCUCACCAAGGCCACGAUGCAUAGCCGACCUGAGAGGGUGAUCGGCCACAUUGGGACUGAGACACGGCCCAAACUCCUACGGGAGGCAGCAGUAGGGAAUCUUCGGCAAUGGACGAAAGUCUGACCGAGCAACGCCGCGUGAGUGAAGAAGGUUUUCGGAUCGUAAAACUCUGUUGUUAGAGAAGAACAAGGAUGAGAGUAACUGUUCAUCCCUUGACGGUAUCUAACCAGAAAGCCACGGCUAACUACGUGCCAGCAGCCGCGGUAAUACGUAGGUGGCAAGCGUUGUCCGGAUUUAUUGGGCGUAAAGCGAGCGCAGGCGGUUUCUUAAGUCUGAUGUGAAAGCCCCCGGCUCAACCGGGGAGGGUCAUUGGAAACUGGGAGACUUGAGUGCAGAAGAGGAGAGUGGAAUUCCAUGUGUAGCGGUGAAAUGCGUAGAUAUAUGGAGGAACACCAGUGGCGAAGGCGGCUCUCUGGUCUGUAACUGACGCUGAGGCUCGAAAGCGUGGGGAGCAAACAGG